AACAGCUCAAAUUUGAAAUCUGGGCCCGUUCCGGGGUCCGAGUUGUAAUUUGUAGAGGAUGCUUCGGGCCCGGCCACGGUCUAAUUUGCUUGGAACAGCAGGUCAGAGAGGGUGAGAGUCCCGUCUGGGAUCGCAGGCCGUGUCCAUGUGAAGCUCCUUCGACGAGUCGAGUUGUUUGGGAAUGCAGCUCUAAAUGGGUGGUAAAUUUCAUCUAAAGCUAAAUAUUGGCCAGAGACCGAUAGCGCACAAGUAGAGUGAUCGAAAGAUGAAAAGCACUUUGAAAAGAGAGUUAAACAGUAUGUGAAAUUGUUGAAAGGGAAGCGCUUGCAAUCAGACUUGCGGGUGGCGGUUCCCCCAACCUCUCCGGUUGGGCUACUCCGCCAUCUCCAGGCCAGCAUCGGUCUGGGGGGUCGGUUAAAGAUCCCGGGAAUGUACCUACCCUCCGGGGUCGACUUAUAGCCCGGGGUGCAAUGCGGCCUCCCCAGACCGAGGAACGCGCUUCGGCUCGGAUGCUGGCGUAAUGGUUGUAAGCGGCCCGUCUUGAAACACGGACCAAGGAGUCUAACAUCUAUGCGAGUGUUUGGGUGUCAAACCCCUACGCGUAAUGAAAGUGAACGGAGGUAAGAACCCUCUCUCGGGGGGGCGCAUUAUCGACCGAUCCUGAUGUCUUCGGAUGGAUUUGAGUACGAGCAUAGCUGUUGGGACCCGAAAGAUGGUGAACUAUGCCUGAAUAGGGUGAAGCCAGAGGAAACUCUGGUGGAGGCUCGCAGCGGUUCUGACGUGCAAAUCGAUCGUCAAAUUUGGGCAUAGGGGCGAAAGACUAAUCGAACCC
Molecule: ribosomal RNA, 832 nt
Filed under: Sporodictyon terrestre
Lineage: Eukaryota; Fungi; Ascomycota; Eurotiomycetes; Verrucariales; Verrucariaceae
Description: eukaryotic LSU rRNA
Rfam family: Eukaryotic large subunit ribosomal RNA
Source: RNAcentral